This 320-nucleotide ribosomal RNA is filed under the name uncultured Prevotella sp. RNAcentral describes it as "partial 16S ribosomal RNA". Lineage: Bacteria; Pseudomonadati; Bacteroidota; Bacteroidia; Bacteroidales; Prevotellaceae. The record is from RNAcentral.
GGAGUUUGGUCCGUGUCUCAGUACCAAUGUGGGGGACCUUCCUCUCAGAACCCCUACUGAUCGUAGGCUUGGUGGGCCGUUACCCCGCCAACAACCUAAUCAGACGCAUCCCCAUCCCUUAGCGAUAAAUCUUUACUCCUCUUCAGAUGUCCUCGAAGGAGACCAUAGGGCAUUAAUCCGGUUUUCACCGGGCUAUUCCCUACCCAGGGGCAGGUUGGAUACGUGUUACUCACCCGUGCGCCGGUCGCCAUCAAAGGAAGCAAGCUUCCUUCAUGCUGCCCCUCGACUUGCAUGUGUUAAGCCUGUAGCUAGCGUUCAUC